AAAAUUUACCUAUUAGUGAAGAGGCUAAUAUUUCGUUAAAAGACAAGAAGACCCUAUAGAGCUUCCCGUACCCUUUAUAAUAAAAGAUUACCGGUUUUGUUGGGGCGACAAGGGAAAAAGAAAAACUUCCCUCAUUCCAAGGCUUAUAGGCCUCUAUCAUUACCCUUAAAAAAGGAUUUAAAAAAGCUACCUUAGGGAUAACAGGCUAAUUCUUCUUAAGAGCUCUUAUCGACAGAAGAGAUUGGCACCUCGAUGUUGGCUUAAGGUACCUAUUUGGCGCAGAAGUUAAAUAAGGUGGUUUGUUCAACCAUUAAACCCUU
Molecule: ribosomal RNA, 320 nt
Filed under: Amblyosyllis hectori
Lineage: Eukaryota; Metazoa; Annelida; Polychaeta; Phyllodocida; Syllidae
Description: partial 16S ribosomal RNA
Rfam family: Bacterial large subunit ribosomal RNA
Source: RNAcentral